This 467-nucleotide ribosomal RNA is filed under the name uncultured bacterium. Its description in RNAcentral is "partial 16S ribosomal RNA". It matches the Rfam family "Bacterial small subunit ribosomal RNA", at positions 28 to 507 of the family's 1533-position model. The record is from RNAcentral.
GACGAACGCUGGCGGCGUGCUUAACACAUGCAAGUCGAACGGAAACGCCCUGCAUUUGUGGGGUGCUCUGAUGGCUAACGGGUGAGUAACAAGUGAGUAACCUGCCGUUGACUUUGGGAUAACUUCUGGAGACUAGGGCUAAUAACGGCUCGGAGCUCCGGCUGCAUGGUGGGGUUGGCAAGUUUCGGCGGUGGGGGAUGGACUCGCGGCUUAUCAGCUUGUUGGUGGGGUAGUGGCUUACCAAGGAUUUGACGGGUAGCCGGCCUGGGAGGGUGACCGGCCACAUUGGGACUGAGAGACGCCGCAGACGCGUACGUGGGGCAGUGGGGGGGAAUAUGGCGCAGUGGGGCGAAGCCUAAUGAAGCAACGCCGCGGUCGGGAAGUCGGCCUUCGGGUUGUAAACCGCGUUCGCUUGAGACGAAUCGUGAUUGACGGUAAUGGGUAAAGAAGCACCGGCUAACUACGUG